Non-coding RNA from Mesocricetus auratus (golden hamster), 79 nucleotides. The record is from Rfam. Lineage: Eukaryota; Metazoa; Chordata; Mammalia; Rodentia; Cricetidae.
GGAAUAUGGUUAUAAAUGAAUGUCUCUAAGAGAGUUGAUGACACAAAAAUUCAUACUCAAUAACAUUACACUGAAUCCC